RNA transcript from Leopardus geoffroyi (Geoffroy's cat), 3948 nucleotides. It is a transcript of the gene named aryl hydrocarbon receptor nuclear translocator 2, with no coding region annotated. The transcript has 20 exons. NCBI's taxonomy places the organism in Eukaryota, Metazoa, Chordata, Mammalia, Carnivora, Felidae. The record is from RefSeq and is a predicted model, not a curated record.
CGCUCUGCGCAGCCCAACCCUCUCGCCAGGCUCUGCAGAUAAAAACACUUAAAAACCCGGUUAAAUCUCGGUUUGCUGGUGUCGCUACGGCUCCUGCAGCCGCCCCAGGUAAUAGGCACCGCGGUGGGCAGGCGGGGAGGAAGGCAGAGCCGGUGCGCCCCUCGAGGCUAAGGCACUCCCGGCUCCCGGGCCGGCUGCCUGGGCCGCGGUGCGUACCGGGCGCGCUCCGAAGCGGUCCCCGGCCUCGGAGACUUCUGGGCGCCGGGCGCUCAGCCCUCGGCCCCGGGCCCGGGCAGCAGGCGGCGCGGCGCCGGCAUGCUAAGUGGGCCGCACUGGGCGCCUUUGUUCCCCGCGCCUCCGAGGACCGCUUCCCUCUGCAUCCUAAUGGGCUCGUGCCCCCGCCCCCCUCCGCGUCCCGGACCCCGGGGCGCCGCCCGCCCCCGCCCCGCGGGCCCGAGCACCUGCGCCGCCCCCCGCCGCGCCCCCCAGCGGGGGGUCCGGCGGCCCGCGGCGCAAGUCUCGCGGUGCUACGGCCCCGGCGGGGGAGCGGCGGCCCGCGCCCCCCGCCGCGCGACAAAGGCCUGCCCGGGAGGCGGGGGCGGGGCGGGGCGGCGGCGGCGCGGGUGGGGGGGGUGGGGGGGGAGCGGAGGCAGCGCCCGCCCGCGCCGUCCUUUGUGUGGCGGCGGCGGCGGCGCCUGGGCCCGCCCGCCCUCCGGGGCCCGGCUCCGCGCCGCCCUCCGCCCCGCCCGGCCGCCCGGCCUCCCGGCAAGAUGGCAACCCCGGCGGCGGUCAACCCUCCCGAAAUGGCUUCAGACAUCCCUGGAUCGGUGACAUUGCCUGUUGCCCCCAUGGCGGCCACGGGACAGGUGCGGAUGGCGGGAGCCAUGCCCGCCCGUGGAGGAAAGCGGCGUUCUGGGAUGGACUUUGACGACGAAGACGGAGAAGGACCCAGCAAAUUUUCCAGAGAGAACCACAGCGAGAUCGAGCGGCGGCGGAGGAACAAGAUGACCCAGUACAUCACGGAGCUGUCGGACAUGGUGCCCACGUGCAGCGCGCUGGCCCGGAAGCCGGACAAGCUGACCAUCCUCCGCAUGGCCGUGUCGCACAUGAAGUCCAUGAGGGGCACAGGGAACAAGUCCACAGACGGCGCCUACAAGCCGUCGUUCCUGACGGAGCAGGAGCUGAAGCACCUCAUCCUGGAAGCAGCCGAUGGCUUUCUGUUUGUAGUGGCGGCAGAGACGGGACGGGUCAUUUACGUGUCUGACUCCGUCACCCCCGUGCUGAACCAGCCCCAGUCAGAGUGGUUUGGGAGCACCCUGUACGAGCAGGUGCACCCCGACGAUGUGGAGAAGCUGAGAGAGCAGCUGUGCACCUCCGAAAACUCCAUGACAGGCCGGAUCCUGGACCUGAAGACGGGGACGGUGAAGAAAGAGGGACAGCAGUCCUCCAUGAGGAUGUGCAUGGGCUCGCGGAGGUCCUUCAUUUGCAGGAUGAGGUGUGGGAACGCUCCUUUGGACCACCUGCCGCUGAACAGAAUAACCACCAUGAGGAAAAGGUUCAGGAACGGCCUUGGCCCCGUGAAAGACGGGGAGGCCCAGUACGCCGUGGUGCACUGCACGGGUUACAUCAAGGCGUGGCCCCCCGCAGGGAUGACUAUACCCGAGGAGGACGCGGACGUGGGGCAGGGCAGCAAGUUCUGCCUCGUGGCCAUCGGAAGACUCCAGGUGACGAGCUCUCCCGUGUGCAUGGACAUGAGCGGGGUGUCGGUGCCCACGGAGUUCUUAUCCCGACACAGCUCUGAUGGCGUCAUCACGUUCGUGGACCCCCGGUGCAUCAGCGUGGUUGGCUACCAACCCCAGGAUCUCCUCGGAAAGGACAUUUUGGAAUUCUGCCACUCGGAGGAUCAGAGCCACCUGCGCGAGAGCUUCCAGCAGGUGGUCAAACUGAAGGGCCAGGUACUGUCGGUCAUGUACCGGCUCCGCACCAAGAACCGGGAGUGGCUGUUGAUCCGCACCAGCAGCUUUACGUUCCAGAACCCCUACUCCGACGAGAUAGAGUACGUCAUCUGCACCAACACCAACGUCAAGCAGCUCCAGCAGCAGCAGGCAGAGUUGGAGGUGCACCAGAGAGAUGGGCUGUCGUCAUACGACCUGUCGCAGGUUCCUGUCCCCAACCUCCCGGCCGGCGUUCACGAGGCGGGGAAGUCCGUGGAGAAGGCCAAUGUCAUCUUCUCCCAGGAGAGAGACCCCCGGUUUGCUGAGAUGUUUGCGGGAGUCAGUGCGUCGGAGAAGAAGAUGAUGACCUCAGCCUCUGCGGCGGGAACCCAGCAGAUCUACUCCCAGGGAAGCCCGUUCCCCCCCGGACACUCGGGGAAGGCCUUCAGCUCUUCCGUGGUCCACGUGCCUGGUGUGAAUGACAUCCAGUCCUCCUCGUCAACGGGCCAGAACAUGUCCCAAAUCUCCCGACAGCUGAACCAGAGCCAGGUGGCGUGGACAGGGAGCCGGCCGCCCUUUCCCGGACAGCAAAUCCCUUCCCAGUCCGGCAAGACUCAGUCGUCUCCCUUUGGGAUUGGAACGAGCCACACGUACCCAGCAGACCCCUCUUCCUACAGCCCUCUCUCCAGCCCAGCUACGUCCUCGCCCAGCGGGAACGCCUACUCCGGUCUCGCCAGCAGGACUCCGGGGUUCGCUGAGAGCGGACAGAGCGGCGGGCAGUUCCAAGGGCGGCCCUCGGAGGUCUGGUCCCAGUGGCAGAGCCAGCACCACGGGCAGCAGAGCGGUGAGCAGCACCCCCACCAGCAGCCCGGUCAGACUGAAGUGUUCCAGGUCUCCAGAGGGGCAGCGUUCCGACCUCCUUCCUCCGUCCUUACGCCGCACGGCAGCCGCGUGGCGCAGAACUCCCCAACCCGGCUCUCCGUGGUCACGAGGCUAAAAAGAAUUCUUGGUCGAAUAAGCACGUGAAACGCUGGUUAAGCAAAGUUGUGCGGUUUCUUGACCGCAGGACUUAUCAGAGGCUUUUAUUAUUUUAAUGAAGACUGAGGCUAUUUUAGGCGGUAGGCGGAGUGCGUAUGCCUUGUUCCCCACGACCGCUCGUCCACACGGUCCUUUUCUCCCAGAGUGUCUCACGGGCCAAGAAUUUGAGAGAACAUGCCUUGGGAAAUUUUCCACAGGGGAUUGAAAUACUGGCUGUGCCCAUUGUCUGGAUGGGCACUCUGAGGCCGGCCGAACUUGAAGGGCCUGUUACAAGUGAAGCUUCAGGACGCAGGCAUUUGGCCCCGCCCCCGGAACACGCACAGCCUUGCUCCGGGCCCUGAUAGGUUCACCCCACCGAUGGGCUCCUGUGCGCCCUGUGUCCUGGCUUUACAUAAACGUGGGUUAUGUCCUGAGGCUCGGUGUACCUGCUGGGAUGACCCCGCCCCCCCCAGGGGGUAGCGGCUUCCGGGUGUGGACAUCUGAGGCCCCCCUGAGGCCCCUGGGCUGCCCCAAGGAAGGACAUGCUGCCCAUGCCCGGAGACCCGACCCAGGGGACCGGCAACUAUAACAUCGAGGACUUCGCGGACCUGGGCAUGUUCCCGCCCUUCUCCGAGUAGCGGCGGGCAGAGUGCGGCUGGCGCUGGGCGGCGUGGCUCCUGUCGUGACCGCGCCAUCCACGCGGGCGGGCCCCCCCCCCCCCCCCCGCACCCUGCUUGCCCCGCCCGCCCCGCCACGGUCCCUCCCAGCAGAAAGCGUCUCACCCCCGUGCUCCUCCCCUGCACAGCGCCUCUCCGCUCUGGCCCCCAGCCCGGGGCCACCGACCAGGAGCCCCGGUAGCCGUCGGGGGGCCGGUUGUAUUUAUUGUACUUUAUCUGUGUGUGCUUGGGAGGCGAGCCGACUGGGCUCCGGGAGUCUGGUUGUGAAUAAUCUCCUAGUAGACGGUUUUCGCCUAUAAAACGUUCACCUGUAGUCCAGA